Molecule: small RNA, 1064 nt
Filed under: Arabidopsis thaliana (thale cress)
Lineage: Eukaryota; Viridiplantae; Streptophyta; Magnoliopsida; Brassicales; Brassicaceae
Description: ATSL165630
Source: RNAcentral
UUUGUUUAUCUAAGUUUUAUUCCGCAGACAUUGUGUUCUUGACGUUUUUGAAUCCGGGUUUCUCUUAAUCUAUUCAGUAUUCAGUAUUUGUUCUUGAUUUCGUUUACUAAGUUGUUCAUCCUGUUAUCAUCUUGGUAUUACUCUGUUGUUAUCAUGCUUUCAUUCUAUUCAACGUUUAUGUUCUCUGCAAUGAUGUCUGGGUAGUGAAUAGGUUUCUGAGGAUGGGUUAGAGUAGUUUAGAAUUCUCAGUAUGCUAGGUGGUUGAGUUUGAUUUAUAGAUCCCUUCUGGAUUAGUUGUUCUUAAUGCCUAUUGUUUUCUGAUCAACUGAAAUUUGAGCCAAGACAUUUCUGCGCCCGAAAGGUGUUCGAUGAAAUGUCUUAACCACUUAUUCCAGAGAUUCGUGGCUCUGUACCAAGGUAUUGGUUGCAUGGAGCGCUUUGGCUUUAACUUGUUGAUUCGUAAUGCCUGUUAGGUUAGCUCUCGUCAAUGGUGAUUGAGUCUGGGACUGGUUUAACUUGAGGGUCUCUAUUGCGGUGGCACUUAGACUUGGUUAUCAAACUUGUUGUCUAGGGAUAAUUUAUUGACCAUGUCAAUCACCUGUAAAUUGAGGAAACGAAACUACUCAAUUACCCCAUCCUCGGGAAUUUCUUUAUCUAAUUGAUUUCUUUGUUUACUUUGCUAUUGUUUAUUGCAUCUUGUUACAUGUUACCUAGUUUUUGCAUUUCUUGCUUGUUACUGGACUAGAUAUUCGACCACCCAGUUGUUUGGGAACAGACUGUGCAGUCGAGUAUCUCUGUUACAUUUUUUGUUUGCUACUCGACCUGUCACUUGACCACAUUCAGUGCUCUGCAACGAGCUGUGUUGGUCGAGUGUUUUAUUGUUUCUGCUUGAUUUUCUGUUUCCUUCAUGUUCACUUAUGACUGCUAGAACACACCAAAACCUGUUAUUGCUUGGCUUGACUCUGUGAACUCUGAUUGCAUCUUGAUUGUUAGCAUCACGCCCAUUUGGAUUGACAACCUAAAAUACUACAACGACAUGAAUGGUGUUUUAGGAUAAUUGACUU